Molecule: transfer RNA, 73 nt
Filed under: Anguilla anguilla (European eel)
Lineage: Eukaryota; Metazoa; Chordata; Actinopteri; Anguilliformes; Anguillidae
Description: tRNA-OTHER
Source: RNAcentral
CCACCUGUGGCCUAGUGGGCAAGGUUACAGUCUUGGGAACACGGGGUCGUGGGUUCAAGCCCAGCUAGGAACA